UGUUGGGUUAAGUCCCGCAACGAGCGCAACCCUCGCCGUUAGUUGCCAGCACGUUUGGGUGGGCACUCUAACGGGACUGCCGGUGUCAAACCGGAGGAAGGUGGGGAUGACGUCAAGUCAUCAUGGCCCUUACGCGCAGGGCUACACACGUGCUACAAUGGCGGUGACAGUGAGUUAAUCUCUAAAAACCGUCUCAGUUCGAAUUGGGGUCUGCAACUCGACCCCAUGAAGUCGGAAUCGCUAGUAAUCGCGUAACAGCAUGACGCGGUGAAUACGUUCCCGGGCCUUGUACACACCGCCCGUCACACCAUG
RNAcentral lists this ribosomal RNA (312 nucleotides) under Kryptoperidinium foliaceum. RNAcentral's name for it is "partial Bacterial small subunit ribosomal RNA". It matches the Rfam family "Bacterial small subunit ribosomal RNA", at positions 1073 to 1406 of the family's 1533-position model. Lineage: Eukaryota; Dinophyceae; Peridiniales; Kryptoperidiniaceae. The record is from RNAcentral.